CAAGUCGAACGGGCAUCUUCGGAUGUCAGUGGCAGACGGGUGAGGAACACGUGGGAACAUGCCCUUCGGUUCGGAAUAACUCAGGGAAACUUGAGCUAAUACCGGAUACGCCCGAGAGGGGAAAGAUUUAUUGCCGAAGGAUUGGCCCGCGUCUGAUUAGCUAGUUGGUGAGGUAACGGCUCACCAAGGCGACGAUCAGUAGCUGGUCUGAGAGGAUGAUCAGCCACAUUGGGACUGAGACACGGCCUAAACUCCUACGGGAGGCAGCAGUGGGGAAUAUUGGACAAUGGGCGAAAGCCUGAUCCAGCCAUGCCGCGUGAGUGAUGAAGGCCUUAGGGUUGUAAAGCUCUUUUAUCCGGGAAGAUAAUGACUGUACCGGAAGAAUAAGCCCCGGCUAACUUCGUGCCAGCAGCCGCGGUAAUACGAAGGGGGCUAGCGUUGCUCGGAAUCACUGGGCGUAAAGGGCGCGUAGGCGGAUGAUUAAGUCGGAGGUGAAAGCCCAGGGCUCAACCCUGGAAUUGCCUUCGAUACUGAUCGUCUCGAGAAUGGAAGAGGUAAGUGGAAUACCGAGUGUAGAGGUGAAAUUCGUAGAUAUUCGGUGGAACACCAGUGGCGAAGGCGACUUACUGGUCCAUUUCUGACGCUGAGGCGCGAAAGCGUGGGGAUCAAACAGGAUUAGAUACCCUGGUAGUCCACGCCGUAAACGAUGAAUGCCAGCCGUUGGGGAGCUUGCUCUUCAGUGGCGCAGCUAACGCUUUAAGCAUUCCGCCUGGGGAGUACGGUCGCAAGAUUAAAACUCAAAGGAAUUGACGG
RNAcentral lists this ribosomal RNA (813 nucleotides) under uncultured bacterium. Its description in RNAcentral is "bacterial SSU rRNA". It matches the Rfam family "Bacterial small subunit ribosomal RNA", at positions 58 to 916 of the family's 1533-position model. The record is from RNAcentral.